UACGGAGGGUGCAAGCGUUAUCCGGAUUCACUGGGUUUAAAGGGUGCGUAGGCGGGUUGGUAAGUCAGUGGUGAAAUCUUCAAGCUUAACUUGGAAACUGCCGUUGAUACUAUCAAUCUUGAAUGUUGUGGAGGUAAGCGGAAUAUGUCAUGUAGCGGUGAAAUGCUUAGAUAUGACAUAGAACACCGAUAGCGAAGGCAGCUUGCUGCACAAUAAUUGACGCUGAGGCACGAAAGCGUGGGGAUCAAACAGG
RNAcentral lists this ribosomal RNA (253 nucleotides) under uncultured bacterium. RNAcentral describes it as "partial 16S ribosomal RNA". It matches the Rfam family "Bacterial small subunit ribosomal RNA", at positions 524 to 776 of the family's 1533-position model. The record is from RNAcentral.